AGUGAACGCUGGCGGUAGGCCUAACACAUGCAAGUCGAACGGCAGCACAGUAAGAGCUUGCUCUUACGGGUGGCGAGUGGCGGACGGGUGAGGAAUACAUCGGAAUCUACUUUUUCGUGGGGGAUAACGUAGGGAAACUUACGCUAAUACCGCAUACGACCUACGGGUGAAAGCAGGGGAUCUUCCGACCUUGCGCGAUUGAAUGAGCCGAUGUCGGAUUAGCUAGUUGGCGGGGUAAAGGCCCACCAAGGCGACGAUCCGUAGAUGGUCUGAGAGGAUGAUCAGGCACACUGGCGCUGAGACACGGUCCACAGACCUACGGGAGGCAGCAGUGGGGAAUAUUGGACAAUGAAGGCAAGCAUGAUCCAGCCAUACCGCGUGGGUGAAGAAGGCCUUCGGGUUGUAAAGACCUUUUGUUGGGAAAGAAAAGCAGCAGGUUAAUACGCCGCUGUUCUGACGGUAACCAAAGAAUAAGCACCGGCUAACUUCGUG
Molecule: ribosomal RNA, 492 nt
Filed under: uncultured bacterium
Lineage: Bacteria
Description: partial 16S ribosomal RNA
Rfam family: Bacterial small subunit ribosomal RNA
Source: RNAcentral